Molecule: non-coding RNA, 2324 nt
Organism: Delphinapterus leucas (beluga whale)
Lineage: Eukaryota; Metazoa; Chordata; Mammalia; Artiodactyla; Monodontidae
Source: RefSeq, a predicted model, not a curated record
GACCAAAAAAAAAAAAAAAAAAAAAAAAAAAAGCGUUAGGCUGCUUUACCAGCUCCCACGGACCCCAGAGUUUGGCUGAGACAGAACAUACUUUUCUCCAGUGCUAUCAGCUGGUGUAAACAGUUUAGGAAAGAUAAAUGACCAGCCCAGUUGGGCGUAAGAACCUCUGAGAUAUGAAAUUCCAGGGCUGUGUCUCCAGCCCUCAGGGGGUCCUGGAAGGGCCUCAUCGUGGUACCUGCUUCUCGACCAUCACCCUCUGGAUCAGGUUUCUAAAUGGAAUCUCGUUCUCUCUUGUGUGACCUGUACCUGGCCGACUGAUACAGCAGCCGCUCACUGUAUGACUAGAUGAAAAUACAAAUUUAAAAUUAAAAACUCAGUUCCUUACAGUUGCACUCUCCACUUUCAAGUGCUCAGCCGCCCCUGCGUCCAGUGGCCACUCUGCUGGGCCGCCCAGUUCUGGAACAUUUCUGCCUGAUCCAUAAUCUCUCCGGGUUUGUUUACCGACACACAGAUGAUUGGAUCCUGUGUCUGCUGCCUUUGCAAGAGGCCACGACGACUAGGUGGCCUAUUAAAAACAGGCCUUUUCACCUGCUCCCCAGGGGCUCUCUUUGGGGCAGAGCUGGUCCUUCUGUCCACUCUGCUGUGCUCUUGGACUCCCGCUCUGACUUGGUAGCGACGAAACGCGGUAGCUUGUCUAACGGACAGGUUGUAGGCAGCGGAGGCAUCAAGGGUGUACACCGCUGACAGUUGCAGCUUUUUCUUUGGCACUUUGCAGAGGAUACUGAAAUAUUACUUCAAAAGAUGAAGCGAUAGAAAUGGAAUACGAAUCAGUCAUUAUACCUCAUGAUGCAUCUGUGAACGCCCUGUACUUACUUUUGGGUUAUUACCGUCUUCAGCCCAAGGUUAGAUGCACGUUUACAGACAUGGAAAACUGAACAUCCAAAAGAGGGUGACUGGGUGAGAGGCUCUGAAAUGACGGAUGGCAGCGCCUCGUUCAGGAAGUGCACGAACCUUGUGGCCUUUGAUGAUUUUUAAAAGCCAAUUAAUAUUUUCUUGUGGCCUUUAUUAAUUAGCAUUUUCCAUUAUUCUCCAGAUCAGAACAUAGUAACCUAUUGGUACUUCUUAAACAGCACACAGGUGACGGUGGUACUUGUCUCAUCAACGGAGUUCUGAUGGAGGGACACCCACAUGCUGCUGAUCCGUGAGGAUGAGAGGGGCGCAGAGACCCUGACCAAACUUGGACUUUGCUGUUUAGCCAAAACCUGUAGCUUCGACUGCCCACCGGUUUUAAAAGGAAACCUAAUUUCAGCAUAUGUUUAAUGUACCCAGCAAAUGGCAACAUUUGAGGUGAAAAAAUAUUAAAACAUACUUUUGUUUACUUAAAGCAUGGGAUGGAUAAAUAUUAAUUUAAGAGUUCAUCCUUAUUUCUGUCUCAAGAGUGGGAUAAUUUAUCAGUUUGAUUAUUUGCAAAGUAGAAUUUUAGAUAAAAAUUUUACCAUAAAGCCAUUCCUUAAUAUAGUAGUCAAAUCAUAAAAUAUAUAAAUACCUCCAUGAAAGGCAACUUUUAUCUGUUUUUUAAUCAAAAGUGGGAAGGGGGUGGUUUCUCAAAUUGUAGGUACUUUAACAAACCAUAAGUAACUUCGUCUUUAAUUAAUACAAUCAUACUUAUGGGACGCUGAUUAUUUUUAAUUAUUCAGAACCUCCAAAAUAAAUAUUUAUAUUUUCUAGUAGUUAAAUGUGUAAGAAUGUUUUUUCUUUCUAAUGCUGGCGUGUUAAAGAUCUAAUGUAUGUGCUCAUUAUAUAAAUUAUCCAAAAAAAAAAAAAGGCUCCAAAAUAUGUAAACAUGAGUAAACCAGACCUGCUCCCAGAGCUGAGACAGAACAGCACUCUCUCCCGUGUAGGUACCAGCAGUUAGUCACUAGCUCUAUCAGUUCUUCCCCUUAAGUACUGACAGAUCCUGUCGCCCCAUCCCCAGCAGUGGACGGGACUCCUACCGUCCCCUCCCUGGAUGACCGAAUGCCGCCCGGAAGGAUGGGAAAGGACGCAGUACAGCCCAGGCGGCCCGGCUCGGGGAGCGUCACCCCUGGCCUGCCCAUCCCGCCGCUUCUCCGCCGUUGCCCCAACCGCGCCCAGCCACGCAGACCCCACGACACCGUCUGAAGGCUUUGGGUUUCAUCAGAGCUCUUCCUUCAGGACUCAGCUCAAAUGCUUGCCUCCAAGAAGCCACUUCUGAUGCUUCCCAGGAGCCUGAGCCAGGGCCUUCCCCGCCUCCUGUCACCCUGCACCUUUUCCACAGCCCCAAUAAACAGCGCUCACUGGAUUCA